GCUCUAUAGCUUAGUUGGUAAAGCACUAGUCUAGCAAACAAAAAUCCUGGGUUCGAGUCCCGAUAAGCA
RNAcentral lists this transfer RNA (69 nucleotides) under Aedes aegypti (yellow fever mosquito). It matches the Rfam family "tRNA". From Rfam's summary of the family: Transfer RNA (tRNA) molecules are approximately 80 nucleotides in length. Their secondary structure includes four short double-helical elements and three loops (D, anti-codon, and T loops). The record is from Rfam by way of RNAcentral. Lineage: Eukaryota; Metazoa; Arthropoda; Insecta; Diptera; Culicidae.